Molecule: long non-coding RNA, 661 nt
Filed under: Mizuhopecten yessoensis (Yesso scallop)
Lineage: Eukaryota; Metazoa; Mollusca; Bivalvia; Pectinida; Pectinidae
Description: uncharacterized LOC110454838, transcript variant X1
Source: RNAcentral
UAUUGAAUCUGUGUUAGCUUAAAAUGUGACUCACACCCAGGUUCGUACUGUCGCUGUGGCUGUCGUUCCUCAUCAUUGUGACGCGGAAGGAUAGACCGCAGACGGAGCGUAAAGGCACGCCUUGUAUUACUACGACACAGCUGCAAUCUCGCAUUCGAUUCUGUAUUCACGGCGAGGAAGGUUUCCCUAGACGUUGAAGGAAGCUUAUACUUAAAAGAAAAUGUCUGACAAACCCGAUAUAUCAGAAGUAACAAGUUUCGACAAGUCGAAGCUAAAACAGACAAAAACAGAAGAAAAGAACCCAUUACCUACGAAAGAAACAAUUGAGCAAGAAAAGAAAGCGUGACGGAUCUUGAUGUCACGUGAUCGGGAUGGAGAAUAUACGUCCAUGUUGUCGUUGCCAGUGGAAACAGUGCUUUUCGGAAAUCUCGCGAGAUUUCUGCUGUCAUUAUACAUAUAAACGUUUUAUAUUAAAAUAAUUCCAUUUGUACAUUGAAGAUGACCAGUAUCAUUAGAAUGUAUUCAUACCAACUUGCUAACAUUCGGCUAUCAUAUGAUUAUUUCUUUGUGUAUAACUCUACAUACCGUGAUCGAAAUCAUGUGUUUUAUUAACGAAAUAAAAUUCUGAGGUCGAGCCACGGUUUUUUCGAGGCUUCUUGUA